RNAcentral lists this transfer RNA (84 nucleotides) under Candidatus Riesia pediculicola. RNAcentral describes it as "tRNA-Tyr". It matches the Rfam family "tRNA". From Rfam's summary of the family: Transfer RNA (tRNA) molecules are approximately 80 nucleotides in length. Their secondary structure includes four short double-helical elements and three loops (D, anti-codon, and T loops). Further hydrogen bonds mediate the characteristic L-shaped molecular structure. tRNAs have two regions of fundamental functional importance: the anti-codon, which is responsible for specific mRNA codon recognition, and the 3' end, to which the tRNAs corresponding amino acid is attached (by aminoacyl-tRNA synthetases). tRNAs cope with the degeneracy of the genetic code in two manners: having more than one tRNA (with a specific anti-codon) for a particular amino acid; and 'wobble' base-pairing, i.e. permitting non-standard base-pairing at the 3rd anti-codon position. Lineage: Bacteria; Pseudomonadati; Pseudomonadota; Gammaproteobacteria; Enterobacterales; Enterobacteriaceae. RNAcentral also lists the same sequence under 1 other name. The record is from RNAcentral.
GGUGGGAUUCCUGAGCGGUUAAAAGGAGCAGACUGUAAAUCUGACGUCAAAUAGACUUCGAAGGUUCGAAUCCUUCUCCCACCA